Molecule: ribosomal RNA, 499 nt
Filed under: uncultured bacterium
Lineage: Bacteria
Description: bacterial SSU rRNA
Rfam family: Bacterial small subunit ribosomal RNA
Source: RNAcentral
GGACGAACGCUGGCGGCGUGGAUUAGGCAUGCAAGUCGAACGGUAGGAUACCUUCGGGGUAUCUGAGAGUGGCGAACGGGUGAGUAACGCGUAGGUGAUCUACCUUCAGGUGGGGGACAACCCGGGGAAACCCGGGCUAAUACCGCAUGUGGCAGUAAUGCUAAAGUUGGCCUCUGUAUAUGCUGACGCCUGGAGAUGAGCCUGCGUCCGAUUAGCUAGUUGGCGGGGUAACGGCCCACCAAGGCGAUGAUAGGUAGGCGGCUUUAACGAGUGGUCGCCCACACUGGGAUUGAGAUACGGCCCAGACUCCUACGGGAGGCAGCAGUCGAGGAUAGUCUACAAUGGUCGAGAGAUUGAUAGUGCGACGCCGCGUGAACGAAGAAGCAUUUCGGUGUUGUAAAGUUCUUCUCUAUGGGAGCAGGGCAUCCGAUGUUAACAGCAUGGGAUGUUUGAUAUUACUAUAGGAAUAAGCCACGGCUAACUCCGUGCCAGCAGCCGC